AAAAACGUAGAGAGAGAAAAAGAACAGAAAUCGAGGCAGCCUUAGCCGAUAGAGGUCGUGUCAGCUUUGACCGAACAUUAACACACAGUCCAACUGUUUGCCUUCUCUCUUUCUUCUUUUUUCUUUUCAAUUUCUUUGCGAAUUUUUGGAUCUGCUUUCUUUUUCAAGCCCUAAUUUUUCUCUCUUUGGAUCCUUCCAAUUGAACAGUGAGUACUCAAAGGGUUCAUUUAAGGCGCAAAGUAGAGGAGACUGACACAUAGCACAGGGUUUCCAUAUAUUGAUUGCUUUGUGGUGGUGUUUCUAUGGCGUUUGCGGCUUCAAAUCUUCCAUCUGCUGAACAACAAACAGGUGUCAUAGAUGAUUCUUUGUAUCGGGAACUAUGGCAUGCCUGUGCUGGACCACUUGUCACACUUCCUCGUGAUGGGGAGCGUGUUUAUUACUUUCCACAAGGUCACAUGGAACAGCUUGAGGCAUCAAUGCAUCAGGGGUUAGAACAUCAAAUGCCUUCAUUCAAUCUGCCAUCUAAAAUACUUUGCAAAGUGGCAUCCGUUCAGCUUAAGGCUGAACCUGAUACAGAUGAAGUUUAUGGGCAAAUAACUCUAGUACCUGAAGCAGAUCAAAGUGAGGUUACAAGCCCGGAUGACCCACUUCCAGCACCAGAAAGGUGCAUAGUCCAUUCAUUUUGCAAGACUCUUACUGCUUCUGACACAAGCACCCAUGGUGGAUUCUCAGUUUUGCGUCGGCAUGCUGAUGAUUGUCUGCCCCCACUGGAUAUGACCCAGCAGCCACCUUGGCAGGAAUUGGUUGCAACUGAUCUGCAUGGCAAUGAGUGGCAUUUUCGGCAUAUUUUUCGAGGGCAACCUAGGCGCCAUUUACUCACUACUGGGUGGAGUGUCUUUGUUAGUUCCAAAAAAUUAGUAGCUGGUGAUGCAUUCAUAUUCCUGAGGGGUGCAAAUGGGGAGCUGCGUGUUGGAGUGAGGAGGCUUAUGAGACAACAGGCAAACAUGCCAUCUUCUGUUAUAUCUAGUCAUAGCAUGCAUCUCGGGGUGCUUGCCACUGCAUCUCAUGCCAUUGCUACCCGAAGUAUGUUUUCUGUCUUCUACAAGCCCAGAACAAGUCGGUCUGAGUUCAUUGUGAGUGUAAAUAAAUAUCUUGAAGCUCGAAACAGUAAGCUAUCUGUUGGGAUGAGGUUCAAAAUGAGAUUUGAGGGUGAAGAGGUUCCUGAAAGAAGAUUCAGUGGCACAAUUGUUGGCGUUGGGGAUAAUAAAUCAACUGGAUGGGCUGAUUCUGAGUGGAGAUCUCUAAAGGUUCAAUGGGAUGAACCUUCAUCAAUCCUGCGUCCUGAUAGGGUGUCCCCAUGGGAAUUGGAGCUACUUGUCGCAACUAAUACAUCUUCAAACUCCCCACCUGCUCAAAGGAACAAGCGGGCUCGACCUUCUGUUCUACCUUCAUCAUCUUCAGAUCUUUCUUCACUUGUAGGUAUGCGGAAAUCACCGGUUGAGUCUUCUGCUUUCUCAUAUUGUGAAGCACAACGUGGACAGCCAUCACCUAAAUUCUCCUCUGCUGGAAAGCCUAACUCUGUUAGCUUCAGUGGGAAUGGUUCACUGGCAGCAGCUUCUAGCAACUUAACAUAUUGGUCUAACCGAGUGGAGAGUGUUAGAGAAUCUUUUGCACCAGUUGUUAGCAAAGAAUCUUAUGAAAGAAAGCAGGGCACUGGGAAUGGCUGCAGGCUGUUUGGUAUUCAGUUACUUGACAAUGUGAACAUGGAAGAAAAUUCCCCUGUGGCUACAGUUUCUGGGACUGGGGGAGAUGACCGGCCUGUUCCGUCACUAGAUGCUGACUCUGACCAGCACUCUGAUCCGUCAAAUCUUAACCGGUCUGAUCUUCCUUCUAUAAGUUGUGAUCCUGAGAAGUCAUGCAUGAGAUCUCCUCAGGAGUGGCAGAGCAAGCAAAUUCGUAGCUGCACAAAGGUUCAUAUGCAAGGUAUGGCAGUUGGAAGGGCCGUUGAUUUGACGCGAUUUGAUUGUUUCAAGGACUUGCUAGCGAAGCUGGAGGAGAUGUUUGACAUCAGAGGUCAGCUUUGUGGAUCUGCUAAAAAUUGGCAGGUUGUCUAUACUGAUGAUGAAGAAGACAUGAUGAUGGUUGGGGAUGAUCCCUGGAAUGAGUUUUGCAACAUGGUGAGGAAAAUUUUUAUCUAUACAUCAGAUGAAGUCAAAAAGCUAUCACCCAAGAUAAAACUUCCGGUCAAUGAUGAUAUCAUACCACCGAAGCCUGGUGGUGACGCAGUUGUCAACCCUGAUGACCGUUCAUCAGUUGUUGGUCCUGGGUGCUAAGGUACCUGGGCCUUCAUACAACGCAGGAAAAUAGUGCUUUGAUAAAAGAGGUUGAGAAAAAUGGAACAUAAUGCUCAAGAUUUUGUCUAUAUCUGGAUUUACCCAGAUGAUAUACCACCAUUGACAUGGCCAUUCCGAAAUGGCUUAGUAUGGCAUCCAUAUCUAGGAGCUUGCUGCUCUGUCAACAAAUUCAUCUGGAGAGUGAGGCGUGCCUCAAAGAUAUGCCUAAUAAAGUAGGAUUUAUGUCAAACAACUUGGUGUUUUCAAGCAGGGUAUGUUCAUUUGCUUGCUGACCCAAGAUGCUGCUCUAUGGCCUGCUUAUUGUGCAGGCAGCUGUAAGAGGAAGAUCCGCUGGGUUUUUUUGGCUGUGUUAUCGAUCCGAUCCGAUAUUUCUAUCCAUUUUCUCACGUUAAUCCGAUGAAUUGAAGAAGUUCAUAGGUAAUCAUGAAGCCGCCAAUUUUCUUACGUUUUACGACUUUUAAGAGACCUAGACUUUCCUUUGUCUGUCACUUCAACUAAAGGUGUUUUAUUAUUAUUAUUGUUACUAAGUCUUUGUAAAUAGACUGAUUUUUUUUCCUUUCUUUUUGUUAAUUUAGCGGUGAAUGAAAUGAGUCAUUUGUGAUCUUAUCUAUGCUGCUUCAUUUUCAAAUGAUAAUAUUUUUUUCACAAUUUGAGGAUAAAAUA
This is a non-coding RNA of Durio zibethinus, 3017 nucleotides long. NCBI's taxonomy places the organism in Eukaryota, Viridiplantae, Streptophyta, Magnoliopsida, Malvales, Malvaceae. The record is from RefSeq and is a predicted model, not a curated record.